CGUGUAGGUGGUCUGAUAAGUCAGGUGUGAAAGCCCCUGGCUCAACCAGGGAAGUGCAUUUGAAACUAUCAGACUUGAGUACGGGAGGGGGAAGUGGAAUUCCUGGUGUAGAGGUGAAAUUCGUAGAUAUCAGGAGGAAUACCGGUGGCGAAGGCGACUUCCUGGACCGAUACUGACACUGAGACGCGAAAGCGUGGGGAGCAAACAGGAUUAGAUACCCUGGUAGUCCACGCCGUAAACGAUGGGCACUAGGUGUAGCGGGUAUUGACCCCUGCUGUGCCGAAGCUAACGCAUUAAGUGCCCCGCCUGGGGAGUACGACCGCAAGGUUAAA
Molecule: ribosomal RNA, 332 nt
Filed under: uncultured bacterium
Lineage: Bacteria
Description: bacterial SSU rRNA
Rfam family: Bacterial small subunit ribosomal RNA
Source: RNAcentral